CGAUGGAGCGAUGAUGUGUGCUGCCGCCUUAAGAACUUUUGCCGGUAUGUUAUCAACACCAGUUGCUUUAGAAGCUUUAAGAUUUUGAAGACGCAGGGCAACAUUACUCGCACUGAUAUCGGAAAAAUAAAAACGAGUCCCAGGACAACGUUGCUGGAAAUUUGGGUCAUCACCCAAACUAUUAUAGAGCUGAUCAGACUCAGCUGCUAAGUUUAUUCCUAUAUUCGUAAAAAAAUCAUUAAAAG
Paramuricea clavata is the source of this 245-nucleotide non-coding RNA. Lineage: Eukaryota; Metazoa; Cnidaria; Anthozoa; Malacalcyonacea; Plexauridae. The record is from the annotation of a GenBank genome assembly.